RNAcentral lists this ribosomal RNA (557 nucleotides) under Osornophryne puruanta. RNAcentral's name for it is "partial 16S ribosomal RNA". It matches the Rfam family "Bacterial large subunit ribosomal RNA", at positions 1851 to 2610 of the family's 2925-position model. The record is from RNAcentral. Lineage: Eukaryota; Metazoa; Chordata; Amphibia; Anura; Bufonidae.
AGCCAGCCUGCCCAGUGACUCAAUUCAACGGCCGCGGUAUCCUAACCGUGCAAAGGUAGCGUAAUCACUUGUUCUUUAAAUCAGGACUAGUAUGAACGGCAUCACGAAGGUUAUACUGUCUCCUUUUUCCAAUCAGUGAAACUAAUUUCCCCGUGAAGAAGCGGGGAUAUAACUAUAAGACGAGAAGACCCUAUGGAGCUUCAAACGACACAACAAAUGCUAAACUCCUUAAAAAUUUCAGAACCCCCCAACUCACUAUAGCACCAUGAUUGUUAGUUUUAGGUUGGGGUGACCGCGGAGCAAAACACAACCUCCACAUUGAAAGAAUUUUAUUCUAAGCCAAGAACCACAACUCAAAGCAUCAAUACACUGACAUAAUUGACCCAAUAAACUUGAACAACGAACCAAGUUACCCUAGGGAUAACAGCGCAAUCUACUUCAAGAGCCCCUAUCGACAAGUAGGUUUACGACCUCGAUGUUGGAUCAGGGUCUCCCGGUGGUGCAGCCGCUACUAAAGGUUCGUUUGUUCAACGAUUAAUACCCUACGUGAUCUGAGU